Molecule: ribosomal RNA, 219 nt
Filed under: Triticum aestivum (bread wheat)
Lineage: Eukaryota; Viridiplantae; Streptophyta; Magnoliopsida; Poales; Poaceae
Description: partial small subunit ribosomal RNA
Source: RNAcentral
AUGGCAACCAAGAGCCUUCUUCUCGCCGCCCUCCUGGUCCUCGCCGUCGGCAUGGCGCCGCAAGACGCUGCCGUGCAGAUGGUGUGCGGCCGUGAUGUGAUGGCCAGCGCGACGGCCGACCGCAGUGGAACUUACACCAUGAACAUGGCCCGGCCUCCUCAUCGCUGCUCGCCCCUCUACUGGGCAACCAGUGCAAGGUGGUGGUGGUCACCCCGCUAG